This is a long non-coding RNA of Oryzias melastigma (Indian medaka), 325 nucleotides long. RefSeq lists it as uncharacterized. The transcript is spliced from 2 exons. The record is from RefSeq and is a predicted model, not a curated record. Lineage: Eukaryota; Metazoa; Chordata; Actinopteri; Beloniformes; Adrianichthyidae.
GUGGACCAAGCCAGGCUUGCAGGAGAUACAGGAGACCAGGCUUGGUGACAGGAACCCAUGGAGAACCAAAACAGUGACGGAGAAGAGCAGAUGACCUGAAAACAAGAUUCCUAAAUACACUGAGACACGUUCAGAGGAGGGACAGUGGUUAUGUUGGAGCUCCCAGGAAGAGGUUCAUGAAUGUUGAGAAGGAGGACAUGAUGGUGAUAGAUGUGAGUGAGGAGAAUGGAGAAGAUGGUGAUAGAUGGAAGCGGAGGAUUCACUGUGUUGACCCUUAAAGGGAGCAGCUGAAAGGAAAGAAGGAAAAAAAUGAAAGAAAAAAACA